GCAUGUUAGGCUCAUAGUGGGGUCGGAGAAGGGAAAGCUGAAUACUGUGCCAGCUGCUGAGGGUAGCAAGAAGCUGAGUGGAUGCUUGAUGACAACUUGGGGAUGGGCAGACUCGGCAGCGUCCUGGCUUGCACCCUUGGCAGUGAACAGAACUGGAGGCUCAGUGCUGCGGAGGGUGUAGUCCCACCACUUCCUCCAGCCACAGGUGAAGGGAACAUUAACCUGACAAUGCAGGAUAAGGUGGAAUGAUGGAUAGAACUCAACGUAUAAAAGAAAGGAAAAUCAGAACAAGACAUGAAAGAUGUUGUUUAUGGGAAGCAAGAGCGAGGG
Harpia harpyja (harpy eagle) is the source of this 330-nucleotide long non-coding RNA. RefSeq lists it as uncharacterized. The record is from RefSeq and is a predicted model, not a curated record. Lineage: Eukaryota; Metazoa; Chordata; Aves; Accipitriformes; Accipitridae. The transcript has 3 exons.